UUUCAUGUUCCUUGAAAAGUUAAGUUUCACUUGCACAGGCUUUCACAAUCCUUAACCUCCUUAAUGAGUUCUUCUGCACUGAUGAGCACCCUAUUCAGUAAUGGUUCUUUUCUAGUUGAUUUGUCUAAUUCACAGUGGAGUAGAAUUUGUCCACCAUGGACUCCAGAAUUCUCCUGGAUUUCUUAAGCCCUCUCUGUUGCUGUUCAAGCAUACAUCCAGUUAACUAAAAUCUCUUAUCAGGAUGAGAAGCAUGAUGAGAAGCAAGCAUGAUGCCUCUUAUGGUUGAAGCAAGAAGGCCAUGUCUAUGGGCUCCCCUUGAUUUUGGGACACUGACCAUUAGAUGUCCUUUAUCAGUUCAGUCCCUAGUUUUAACCCAGAAGUGCUCAGCCUGAUCAUAGCUGAUUUUUAGAGGCAGCUCUUCACAAUCCAAUCACUUCUUGAUACAGUGAGCAUCUCAUCUGCCUCUCCCUCCCCCCCCCCUUUCCUGUUGCCUAUCUCUUUUAAAAAGCUUUUAGCCCUCAGUCAUAAUGUUCUAGUUGUGUGAUUCAUCCCACCACUUUUCUGUGAGUUUUCUUAUUGCCAUGUGGCUUCUAGCUUCUCCUUUUCAUUUCUCAUGCUGCGUGCUUUGGUGUACAGGCACUUUGGGCUGUCAGCCAUGUUAUCUUCUUCAGGAGCCUUCCCAGAUAUAUCUGGGAUAGAUCUGAAGUUUUCCACUGCAGUUUCCUAAAGUGACAGUGAUUUCUAGAACAUUCUUGCCCCAUGUAGCCAAUUGCAUUCCAUCCAACAUCAGCAGGCCCAGUUUCUCGAAGGGCCUGUCCGAGAUCACAGUACCCAUAAGAUUGAGCACAACACCAUCCACAACCCAUUGACAGAAAUUCACCUCAUCCAUUUUCCUCCUUCCUGAGUCCCAGCCUUCAAAUGGGAGGACAGAGGAGAGCCCUACCCAUACUCCCAACCCAUUCAACAGCCUCUCAGGGGACAUAAAGCCACUUUUGAUGUUUUGCAGUCUCCUUGCAGCAGCCUCAUGAGAUCCAAUGUGAAUGGAGCAGGAGUGGAUACUACCAGCAAGUCACAUGUGCUUCCACUAACAAUCCUGACCAUACUAAAUCGUUCCUACACUUCUAGCAAUUAUCUAAUGAAACAUCCAAAGAUACAGGUGACAGAUGGCAGCAGAGGGGCAGUCUGACAAAGUGGCAUCCAAUAUGAAAGUGCAUAUGGAGCAAAGUCAUAUGACUGAAUUCCUUAAUGUGGAAAAAAUUGCACUCAUCAACAUACAUCAGUGCUUGCUGAAUGUUGAUGAAGACCAAACAGUGGAUGUCAGCACAGUGAAGCAGUAGAUGGUAUGUUUCAGCAAAGGUGAUGGCAUUGUGGAAGACAAGCCAUGUUCCAGAUGGCCAUGCACCACAAAAUGUAGAGUAUCUCAAUCAGCUCAUCUGUCUGAAUUGGCUAAUGUUGAUGAACAUGUUGAAAAACAGGAAUCCUAGGCUUUUGAGACCAGGAGGAAAGACUGGAGUAAGAAAGACUUACUAUCAGUGGUGUAGGAGUAGUUAGGUAAAGUUUAAGUAAAUUUGACAUUCGAUAUAUAAUGUAUACAUAUAAUGUUUAAGUUAAUUUGACCAGGACCUGGUCAACUGCACCCACAAGAGCUGGCAAAAUGGUCAGUGUACUUCAGAGGCAAUUCCUGUAAAACACAAAGGACAGCAGAUAGCAGGGAUUUAUGAAAAAGAAAUUUUCCUUAACCAGUUUGAUAAAUUAUGUUUUGGAAUCACUAGCUGAGUGCACGAUGGAGAACAGUGGAUUUUUAUCUUGACUUUAGCAACUCUUUAAACACAGUUUUGUUUGUUUAGCACUCAUAAACAGAGUGAGAACGGCUGCAUAAGUUGGCAGUGAAGUGGACUGAAAAUUGACUGAACUGCCAGACUCUAAGGAUGGCCUCUAGUUGUAGGCUAGUCCUUAAUGGUGUACUCCAGGGACUGAUACUGGAGUCAACACUGCUGAACAUUCAUAAUGAUGCUGAUUAUGGGACUGCAUGAACUCUCAGCAAGUCUGCAGAAAUAUGAAGCAUAAAAGCUUGGCUGAUAGUCUUUUAACUAUAAAGUCUGUCAUUUAGAGGGAUUCCUACAGGCUGGAGGGAUGAGCACAGAGGUGACUGACUAAGGACAAAAAUGGCAUAUGAAAACAUACUGGACUAAGUACAAAAAAGGAUCAAAAAUGUGACUAUGAGCUUUGAUUGUCUGACACAGGUCAGAGAAAGAGGACUCAAUUGUAACUGUUCAGCAUGGAGAAGAAAAGUGUGUAGGGAAUCUUAAAAAUAUUAAUGACUAUGUAGGAGGUAGAAGUAAUGAUGAAGCCAGACUGUACUCAGUGCACCCAGUGAAGCAAAACAAGUGAACUGAAAUACAUGAAAUUCUGUUUAAAUAUAAGAAACAUACCCCCACCCCUCCACACCCACUCCCUCUUUUUUUUUUUUUUUUUAAUAUUAUGAAGGUUGUAAAAUACUGAAUUGGCUACCCAGAGAGGAUAUGGAGUUUCUACCCUUGGAUAUAUACAAAAUCAGGUUACAACCCUAUGUAGCUGAUUCUACUUGAGGGGAUUUCCACUGAUUCAAAUUCUGGCCCUGAGCAUACCAAGUAAUUAUUAAAAUGUUAUAAAAGCACUCUCCAAUUUUGUAAACAAUAAAAAUGAAAAUAAAAAAAUAGUAUAAUUAAAUCAUCAAAAUAAAUCAAACUAUAGGUUUGAUUGAUAGGAUGUUAUUACUAAUGCAAAAAAUACUUGUGCAACUUUCAUUCUGCUCUUACACAUCAAGGUUGUACUCUGAAGGACCUAAAAGUCUCUUAGGAAAAAGAAGGGUUAUGGUCAAUAAAGAAAGAUCAUCAACCAUCAUUUCUUUUGACUGGAUAUCCAUGGAGAGGUACAAGCACAAAACAUGAAACUUCCAUAUUGACCACUUACAAAAGGAAACUGGAGUCAGUGGCCAUUGAUAACAUCUUGCUGUUAUUUGAGAAGCUGUACAGUGUAUUUCAAUCACUCAUUUUCCAACAUGUGCCCAUCUUUGAGCAUUAUGGUCUUCAACAAAUUUUGGUUAGGUCAAUUGUUUGGUUAGUUUCCCCAGUGUUGGAUUGUAUUAACGCUAAACCCACUUCCUCUUCAAGAGCAGGAUUUGCAGGAGGCAGCGUAAGGAAACUGCCGCCACAUUACAGAAAGAAACGCAGCCAUGCAUCCUAAAAUGAGGCAUUUGACAAGAGAUUCUCCUGAGAAGCCUCUUGUUGACCUGCCAGGUUCAUCAGCGGGCUUUACACCGAGAUUUAUUUAUAAUCUCUGAACAGCUGAAAUGCUAAUCUAUGCAACAACAGGAAUCUUGCAGCUGACGCACAGUAGCACCAAUUCUUCCCCUACAAUAAAGCAGCAUUAGUUAUGAUAUGAAUAAUAAAGUUCCCCUCAGACUUCUGGUGGUAAUCACGGACAAGGCCCUAAUUAAAAAAUGAAACUUUCAUCUGCUUUUGUAAUUUGCACAGUAUCAUGUGAAACAGAAGAAAGAAAACAGGAAGAUUUUAGUCAUAAAAAAACUAUCUAGGGCCUGGACUCCAAUGAUGCAAUUUAUAUUGCAGUAAGAAUGUUUGUACUGUUCGUUUUUAUAACGUUCUGUUCCAGAAUUUCUGUUUUUGUGUGCCAGACUGCUUUGUAUCCCAGGAUAGACAAUUCAUAAAUAUCCCAGUUCACACCCUAUGUCUUUGCUUUGCUUUGUUUUGAUGUAGCAUUUGAGACCAUUUCCAAUGAUGAACACAAAAUAAUAAUUAAAAAAUAAAAUUAUAUAUUUGCAGAAUGUCCUGACAUUCAAAAACCAGCAAUUUUUUCACUGAUGAAAUGUUGUUAUAUAGUGGCAUACAGUGUGCAUUCCACAGAGCUGAAAACAGGUUUUUCCAUGAAUUUACUAAGAUACUUCACAUCAUGAAAGGACUGAAAGUUUGGUUACUUCUAAAUGCUGUUUCUACACAUGUAUUCUUCCUGUUCCAGUUCUAGCUUAAUCCCUGAAAGCAAUCAUUUUCUGUUUUCAGUGGGCAUUCCACUUUGAAACAUUAAGUGCUCUGAAUACAGCUCACAGUAAUGAACAGCUCCUGUAGAACGAUCAGUAUACUCAACAUCAAUUAAGUUGGCAGUUCUUGCUUAUCUUUUACUUUUGCUUUUACUUCUCCUUUUUCUUCUAUUUCUAUUUACAAACUGAAUUCUGACUGGACCUUCUUGGUUGGAUUAUUUAUUUACCGUUUCACCCUUUCACAGGCGAGUUUAUGUUAAAAAAGCCCUACAUUUAUAUUAUAGGUUAUAUUCAUCCUUUGACUUUUAGUACAUUUGGUAGGACAGAAAAAGUGAUAGAAUGCAUCAAGAAUCAAGAAUGUCAAUCAUCUCCCAAGACUUGGUGGAUUUGAAAUACUGUUCAACAUAAUCCUGUACCUAUUCAGAAACUGCAAAGGAGUUUGUAAUUUUUUCUAAGGUGUAUAAAAUAUAUAACUUUCAUCACAACACUCAAGUUAUCAGAUGAUGAGGGAAUAAGUUUUAAUUCUGAAAUCAGACUCUGUCUCUUGAGGAUAUUGACAUACACAAAUUACUCAUGGGGUGAAGACUGGAUUUUUAAAGAACGCAGAUAAAAACAAUGAAGUAAACAAAAGAAAAAAGAAAAUAAAUACUACUGGUAGGAAUUGAAAUUUACUGUGUAAUGCUUUACAGUAAAUAUCAUGGGCCCACGUUCAAUGAAAUGCGUGGAAGGCCUGCAAGACAAAAUAAAAUCGAAAGCAUGUUGCAGUUGCU
Long non-coding RNA from Tympanuchus pallidicinctus (lesser prairie-chicken), 4803 nucleotides. RefSeq lists it as uncharacterized. The record is from RefSeq and is a predicted model, not a curated record. NCBI's taxonomy places the organism in Eukaryota, Metazoa, Chordata, Aves, Galliformes, Phasianidae. The transcript is spliced from 2 exons.